RNAcentral lists this ribosomal RNA (497 nucleotides) under uncultured bacterium. RNAcentral describes it as "partial 16S ribosomal RNA". It matches the Rfam family "Bacterial small subunit ribosomal RNA", at positions 28 to 507 of the family's 1533-position model. The record is from RNAcentral.
GAUGAACGCUGGCGGCGUGCCUAAUACAUGCAAGUCGAGCGAACAGACGAGGAGCUUGCUCCUUCGACGUUAGCGGCGGACGGGUGAGUAACACGUAGGUAACCUACCUAUAAGACUGGGAUAACUUCGGGAAACCGGAGCUAAUACCGGAUAAUAUUUCGAACCGCAUGGUUCGAUAGUGAAAGAUGGCUUUGCUAUCACUUAUAGAUGGACCUGCGCCGUAUUAGCUAGUUGGUAAGGUAACGGCUUACCAAGGCAACGAUACGUAGCCGACCUGAGAGGGUGAUCGGCCACACUGGAACUGAGACACGGUCCAGACUCCUACGGGAGGCAGCAGUAGGGAAUCUUGCGCAAUGGGCGAAAGCCUGACGGAGCAACGCCGCGUGAGUGAUGAAGGUCUUCGGAUCGUAAAACUCUGUUAUUAGGGAAGAACAAACGUGUAAGUAACUGUGCACGUCUUGACGGUACCUAAUCAGAAAGCCACGGCUAACUACGUG